CCAUUAUUUGUCUCCACUCCAGAUGGCAUUCAGCGGACAGUCAGCCGUAAUGCGUGCACGUGUCAGGAGGACCAAAUUCAGUGAGAUUCCACAUGAGACAGUUAUUGCCUUUUCUCCUGUUUUCGCACGAUAUUGCACCUCUUCCUCCUCUCCACCAGUCAUGCGUCAGUGAAAU
Molecule: long non-coding RNA, 175 nt
Organism: Thalassophryne amazonica
Lineage: Eukaryota; Metazoa; Chordata; Actinopteri; Batrachoidiformes; Batrachoididae
Exons: 3
Source: RefSeq, a predicted model, not a curated record